This 447-nucleotide ribosomal RNA is filed under the name uncultured bacterium. RNAcentral describes it as "partial 16S ribosomal RNA". It matches the Rfam family "Bacterial small subunit ribosomal RNA", at positions 29 to 523 of the family's 1533-position model. The record is from RNAcentral.
AACGAACGCUGGCGGCAGGCUUAACACAUGCAAGUCGAGCGCCCCGCAAGGGGAGCGGCAGACGGGUGAGUAACGCGUGGGAAUCUACCGUACCCUACGGAAUAGCUCCGGGAAACUGGAAUUAAUACCGUAUACGCCCUACGGGGGAAAGAUUUAUCGGGGUAUGAUGAGCCCGCGUUGGAUUAGCUAGUUGGUGGGGUAAAGGCCUACCAAGGCGACGAUCCAUAGCUGGUCUGAGAGGAUGAUCAGCCACAUUGGGACUGAGACACGGCCCAAACUCCUACGGGAGGCAGCAGUGGGGAAUAUUGGACAAUGGGCGCAAGCCUGAUCCAGCCAUGCCGCGUGAGUGAUGAAGGUCCUAGGAUUGUAAAGCUCUUUCACCGAUGAAGAUAAUGACGGUAGUCGGAGAAGAAGCCCCGGCUAACUUCGUGCCAGCAGCCGCCGUAA